UACGUAGGGUGCAAGCGUUGUCCGGAAUUAUUGGGCGUAAAGAGCUCGUAGGCGGCUUGUUGCGUCAGCUGUGAAAACCCGCAGCUCAACUGUGGGCUUGCAGCUGAUACGGGCAGGCUUGAGUUCGGUAGGGGAGACUGGAAUUCCUGGUGUAGCGGUGAAAUGCGCAGAUAUCAGGAAGAACACCCGUGGCGAAGGCGGCUCUCUGGAACGCAACUGACGCUGAGACGCGAAAGCGUGGGGAGCAAACAGG
This 253-nucleotide ribosomal RNA is filed under the name uncultured bacterium. Its description in RNAcentral is "partial 16S ribosomal RNA". It matches the Rfam family "Bacterial small subunit ribosomal RNA", at positions 524 to 776 of the family's 1533-position model. The record is from RNAcentral.